AGCGGCAGGCUUAACACAUGCAAGUCGAGGGGUAACAUUGGUGCUUGCACCAGAUGACGACCGGCGCACGGGUGCGUAACGCGUAUAGAACCUACCUUUUACAAGAGAAUAGCCCAGAGAAAUUUGGAUUAAUGCUCCAUAGUAUCAUAAGAUCACCUGAUUUAAUGAUUAAAGCUUCGGCGGUAAAAGAUGGCUAUGCGUCUUAUUAGCUAGAUGGUGAAGUAACAGCUCACCAUGGCAACGAUAAGUAGGGGUCCUGAGAGGGAGAUCCCCCACACUGGUACUGAGACACGGACCAGACUCCUACGGGAGGCAGCAGUGAGGAAUAUUGGGCAAUGGAGGCAACUCUGACCCAGCCAUGCCGCGUGCAGGAAGACUGCCCUAUGGGUUGUAAACUGCUUUUAUACAGGAAGAAACACUCCCUCGUGAGGGAGCAUGACGGUACUGUAAGAAUAAGGAUCGGCUAACUCCGUGCCAGCAGCCGCGGUAAUACGGAGGAUCCAAGCGUUAUCCGGAAUCAUUGGGUUUAAAGGGUCCGUAGGCGGGCAAUUAAGGCAGGGGUGAAAUCCCACAGCUCAACUGUGGAACUGCCUUUGAUACUGGUUGUCUUGAGUUAUAGUGAAGUAGAUAGAAUAUGUAGUGUAGCGGUGAAAUGCAUAGAUAUUACAUAGAAUACCGAUUGCGAAGGCACAGAUUACUAAUAACCAACUGCCACUGAUGGACGAAAAGCGUGGGGAGCGAACAGGAUUAGAUACCCUGGUAGUCCACGCCGUAAACGAUGGAUACUAGCUGUUCGGAUUUAUCUGAGUGGCUAAGCGAAAGUGAUAAGUAUCCCACCUGGGGAGUACGUUCGCAAGAAUGAAACUCAAAGGAAUUGACGGGGGCCCGCACAAGCGGUGGAGCAUGUGGUUUAAUUCGAUGAUACGCGAGGAACCUUACCAGGGCUUAAAUGUAAGUUGCAUUAGUUAGAGAUAGCUAUUUCUUCGGACUACUUACAAGGUGCUGCAUGGUUGUCGUCAGCUCGUGCCGUGAGGUGUCAGGUUAAGUCCUAUAACGAGCGCAACCCCUAUCGUUAGUUGCUAACAGAUUAUGCUGAGGACUCUAAUGAGACUGCCUACGCAAGUAGUGAGGAAGGUGGGGAUGACGUCAAAUCAUCACGGCCCUUACGUCCUGGGCCACACACGUGCUACAAUGGUCGGUACAGAGGGCAGCUACCCCGCGAGGGGAUGCGAAUCUCGAAAGCCGGUCUCAGUUCGGAUCGAAGUCUGCAACUCGACUUCGUGAAGCUGGAAUCGCUAGUAAUCGCGCAUCAGAAUACUGCGGUGAAUACGUUCCCGGGCCUUGUACACACCGCCCGUCACACCAUGGGAGUGGGAUGCAAAAGAAGUAGUUAGUCUAACCUUCGGGAGGACGAUUACCACUUUGUGUUUCAUGACUGGGGUGAAGUCGU
RNAcentral lists this ribosomal RNA (1450 nucleotides) under uncultured prokaryote. Its description in RNAcentral is "partial 16S ribosomal RNA". It matches the Rfam family "Bacterial small subunit ribosomal RNA". The record is from RNAcentral.